CGCCCAUUAAAGCGGUACGCGAGCUGGGUUUAGAACGUCGUGAGACAGUUCGGUCCCUAUCCGUCGUGGGCGUAGGAAAUUUGAGAGGAGCUGUCCUUAGUACGAGAGGACCGGGAUGGACGCACCGCUGGUGUACCAGUUGUUCUGCCAAGGGCAUAGCUGGGUAGCUAUGUGCGGAAGGGAUAAGUGCUGAAAGCAUCUAAGCAUGAAGCCCCCCUCAAGAUGAGAUUUCNNNNNNNNNNCCGAUCUAUCAGAACAGCAAAAGCUUUUUCCCCAGAGUGCAAGAACAAAGUGUGUGAAGCCUGUUGUAUCAAGAACCAAAGAUCAGGUUGAUAGGUUCGAGGUGGAAGCAUGGUGACAUGUGGAGCUGACGAAUACUAAUAGAUCGAGGACUUAACCAU
This 401-nucleotide ribosomal RNA is filed under the name Microbacterium thalli. Its description in RNAcentral is "partial 23S ribosomal RNA". It matches the Rfam family "Bacterial large subunit ribosomal RNA", at positions 2582 to 2925 of the family's 2925-position model. The record is from RNAcentral. Lineage: Bacteria; Bacillati; Actinomycetota; Actinomycetes; Micrococcales; Microbacteriaceae.